UUCUUCACAGUCAUUGUAUUUCCACAAUCUACAAUAAGCUCAACUUCAUCUUCACUAUCGAGUUGGAAGCUCUUAUUUGAUAUAUGGCCCUGCCAGAGGUGAUCUUCACAGGAUUUUACUAAGUUAACUGCUACUCUCCGAGAAUCCUUGGUAAAACCCUUAGUAUGAUUAGUCAAUUUGAUUGUAAUACGUUUAGUUUGUUUUUUCUCUAAAUGAGAUGAGCAAACAAUGCACACAUUCAUGCCCUUCAAGUUCCUGCCGUCGAAUUUUGGUAGUUUAAACAAUAUUGAAGCACCCUCAUUCUUAUAGUUGAACAAAGCAGGAAUCUCAUUUCCAGGAAGUACCAAACCAGAAAUACAUCCCUGCACAAAGAGUACCAUUUUUAUUUUACAUGUUAAACAACAACAUCCAAAAAAAAAUGCUUAAAAAGUAAAGAUAGACAGAUAAGAAUACCUUGUGCAUGCUAUUUUUUAAAGUAUUUGAGAUACUGAAGCAACCUUCCAUGUCAAUGUCUGUAAUGGACGUUGAUUUAUCCAAUCCUGGAGCCUCAAUCAGUUUGGGGCAAUUAGCAAUGUACAGUAAACGCAUACGUGAAGCUACUGUUAUAUCUGGUAACCUUUCCAAUGAUGUGCAGUUCAAAGCGUGCAAGACAUCUAAAUUUCUAGGUAAAUCUGGAAUUGUUUGUAGCCAGCUGGUAGACUUUGAAAACUGUUACGGUCCAAUUCCAGUUUAGUUAGUGAGGGUAAACUCCCAAGAUCACUAGGAAGCGCAUCAUCAGAUAGAUUGCAAUCACUGAGCAAUAAUGAUGUGAGUCUGUUUAAGCCAUGAAAAGAAGGUGGCAGCAGGUUGGUUGGACUGGGACUUUUUCUUGGCAGAAACAAUGACAUCAAACGUGAAGGAAAUGUUGCGGAAGUUGAACCUUUACAGCCACAAAGUGAUAAAUCUUUGAGGUUCUUCAGUUUUACUAUGGUACUUGGUACCUGUCUUAUGGCAGUGUCAUCUGCAUGGAGAAUUGUCAAGGAUUCCAAAUCUCCCAAGUCCUCAGGCAAUUCAUCAAAUUUUGAGCAGCCUGAGAGGUAAAGAAUCUGGAUAGACUUCGACUUCCAGAAGCUGCUCGGGAGCCUCAUAAGUUGCUUGCAAUCUUUGAAAUUUACCAAAACAAGUCUUUCAAGGCAUCCAAUAGAAUGAUGAACUUCAACCAAACUUCUGCAGUCUUUGAGUUUUAACUUCUCCAGAUGUGGAAGUCUGGAAAAGUCGGGAGUCCGAGAUAGGCAAUGAGAAUGACUGAGAUUAAGAAACUUCAACUUCCAAAGGAACUGAGGAAAAGAAGCAAGAUUCAGGAGUUAGAAAGAAAUUGUUAUUGUUUGAUAGCAUACUAAAGUUUAGAUAAAUAUUUGAUAGUCUUAGCAUACCUUAGAAUUCUUAACCUGUCUGAGGUUGCUGUAUCGCAUAUCUAUAGCAACAAGGUUUUCCCCAUAGAGGCCAUCAGGUAUGAACGAGAGUGGAAAUCCAUGCCAACAGAGCCAGGUUAAUUUUCUCAAAAGAUAUUCACAGCCUCCACCAAGCUUUACAUGAUUGAGCUGGAGCAGCCUUAGGUUUUGCAGAUUGCAAAACACAUUUACAUCAACUUUCAUGUCAUUCACUUUCAGCAAGUUUAUGGCCAUCCCUUGGAUUGCUUCAGUUCCCUGUCAAUAAACCACGUCAAGAGGAAAGGAUCAGAUAUUUUCAAAACAUGAAUUUAUACGAUGAUAAGUUUGAAUGCAUUCACCAUGUUUCUUCUCAAUAUGUCACCAACUUCUUCAGGAAUCCAUAAUCUACUCCGCCUUCCUGGAUUGUUCGGUGACUGCGCACGAACAAUUUCUCUCCCCAUAUCUCUAAGCAAAUCAUGCAUUAUUAGCUUGUUCUUUUCAUUAACAGAUACAAGGCACCUCUGAGUGAGGACACUAAAUCCAAUGUCUGCGAAAAAAUCACAACCAUUUAAUAUUGGUAACACAUAUUCCUUGUCCAUCCCAAUAAAGUAACAGGAUAUAUCGAGGAAUAUAUCUUUCUGCGUGUCAUCAUUCAGGCCAUCAAAACUUAUUUGGAGCUUUUUCUGAAUUUGAUCAUCAGGAAUUCUUCUCAGUUUUUCCAAUGCACUUUUCCAUUCAACUAUACUUCUACCAAAUAGAAAAGAGCCUAUUACUUCAAGUGCUAGUGGCAAUCUUCCACAGUAGUCAACAAUUUGUUCUGACAACUCCUUAUAAUCUUCGACGGGAUGGCUUGUUCGAAAGGCAUGCCAGCUAAAGAGCUCCAAAGCUUCAAUGUCAUUCAUUUCUCUGGCCAUGUAUACUCGAUCAGCUCCAAGAACUGCUAGAACAUGCUUAUCUCUUGUUGUUACAAUGAUUCUGCUUCCUGAACCAAACCAAUCUCGACUCCCCGCUAUCGCUUGUAACUGAUCUAAUUUAUCUACAUCAUCGAGUAUGAGAAGAACUCUUCUACUGUGAAGUCUUUCCUUUAUCAUAUUCAUUCCUCUGUGAACAUUGCCAAUCUUAAUCUUGUCUGUCUUCAGGAUAUCAAAAAGAAGUUGUUCUUGCAGUUUGACAUGACCAUUUGGCUGCUGUGAAAUUUCUCGAACAUUGGCAAGAAAACAUUUCCCAUCAAAACUAUGAAACAACUCAUUAUACAUGGCCUUGGCAAUGGUUGUUUUCCCUAUGCCUCCCAUUCCAUAUAUUCCUACAAUGCAGACCUCGCUUGAUCCAGCAUUUAACAAGAAGUUCAAUUGUUGCACACGAGGAUUUAUCCCAACUGGAUAGAAGGCUACGAACAAGUAUGUGCUCCUCAGUUCUCUCAAAAUCUCCCCAACAAUUUUCUUUAUAAAUUUUGCCUCAUGCCUGCAAUUAAUUGUCAACAAAAUAGUGAGACUUUAAGCAUAAAACAGCCAAUUAGAAUAUAUUAUGUAAAGCACAAUCCAAAAUAUUUUAUAAUUUGUAGUUUUCCUGAAGAAAAUCCAGCCCCAAGCAAAACAUCUCAUAUUCCUUGGAUCACCAUUUAGUUCCUCAACCCUGAAUUAUCUACUGAUAAUGAACUUCUUCGCAAUAUAUAUCGUUACUUAAAUUUUUAAAAUUAUUUAUUUCUUGAAAUCUUUUUAAUUAUAUAUUGGAUAGUGAUGCAUGAUAUCCAUACACCAUAUCGAUCACUCCUCACAAGCCAAAGAAGUGAUUUAUUGACAAAUGCUGCAUCUCGAAAAAAUCCCUAAGAUUCAAAUUUCGUUGUGUUCUUUCCCGGCUUUUGUAUUUAUCAGGACUUCAAAACAAAGAAAGUGAUUGGAUAGGGUAAGAUGUAGGAUGGAGCCUAUCAAUGAUGUUUUGGAAACUCUUUAGUAGCUCAUACUCACUGUAAUUGUGAUUUGGAUUUAAAAAAAAAUCAAGAUGAUAAAAAACUGUAUAAAAACUAAAUUGAAACCAAUUAGUCCUAUAAAAAUUAGAUAAAAAAUAAUUAAUCCUACAAAAACUAAAACAAAAUAUAUCAUGAAAAUCAAUUAAAAAAAUAAAAUGCUUAAAAAAUUCUUCAAAUGGCUUAUUUUUUGAAAAAAAUUAAAAUGAUAAUAUAUUUAAUUGAUCUGAGUUUCACGGCAUAACAACACUAUGACAAUCAUGUAAAAGUAUUUAUUUCAACAAAUAAAUCCCACAAAAAAAAACAUCACAAAGAAAAAUUUAAAAUUAACCAAAUGUUGUUUUUUAAAAAGAAAUUAUUCAAACAACAAAAUACUGGAUCAACCCUAAUUUUUUAGAUUAACUUGUCAAACAUAUGACACAGGAUAUGAUUUUAACUAGAUUUAAUAAUUUUUUAUUAAAUUUUAUUUUUUAUCUUAUAUAAUAUUUUUUAAAAAAAAAACCUGAAAGAAGCUAGAUGUGUGACCAUGGUAGACCAAUAUACCUAGGCCAUCUAAAAGAAAGAGCCUGACCUACACACUUGGGCUUGUUUUUAUUUAUUUUUUUAAUUUUUUAAGGACAAACGAUUUGUCAUCCAUCUCUUUUCUUUAAAAACUAAAUGGAUAACACAUCAACUGCUAUUAGCAAAAUUUUGUGACGGGAGGGUCACAAGAAAAACAUGGCUUUAGUUUUUUUUUUUCAAAAGACCUUAGUUUUUACUCAAAACAUCUAGAAAACACCCUCAACCUAUUUAUGGCCUCAAACCGCUUAAAAGCAGCUCAAAAACCCGAAAUCAAUCCAAAUCCAAAAAUCUUUCAAUAGGCAAAUCUACCUCCUCGUGAAAGGAGAACGAAGAAAAACACCUAGAUCAAACUUUUAUUAUCAAAUGGAACCUAUUAAAACUAAAAUUGAUCAUUUUGUGGUUAAAAGUGGUGUCUCUGAUGGUUUUUUCUCUAUAUAUCGGAAUCCAACUAGCCUCUCAUUCCUCUCACAAGAAAAUGAUCAAAAAAUAAGAAAAAUAAAGUUUGAUAUCAAAAUUGAAUUUCUAUAAACUAAAAGACCUAUUAUCUAUUAACAUAAAAAAUAUGAGGGACCAAACUAAACUUUUUUAAAGAAAUGGUUAAUAGUUAAUAGUCAACAUACUUCUUAGAAUAAUGUGAUUUCUACGAAUUUUUUUUUAUUAUUAUUAAUUAACUCUUAGCCGCUACGGGAUUGUAGUAUCAUCAAAUGGUUAAUAGACAACACACUUCUUAUAAUUUUGUGAUUUCUACAAAAGAAAAUUGUUUAUUAAUUAUUUUCUUCCCAUCUCAAGUUAUUAAUUAAUUAAGUGAAUGAUCACAGAUCACAAUCUCUCUGUUUUGAAAUUCCCAAGCAGAAAGGUUUCGUGUUUCCGCCUGAGACUCGCACGUCAAGGACUCCUUUAAUAAUAACAUGUUCAUCCUUAAUAGCUUUGUAUGCCUGCCCCAAUCAUACGAUUUCGGAUGGUAGAAAAGAAAAACAAUUUAAAUGGUUCAAUUUUAUUUUUUUUAUUAUUAUUAUAUACAAAAGGUUCAAAUUUGAGCAUUUUAUCACUUAGAUCAUAUCAUUGAUAACAUAAGAAUUACUAUUAAUUCAAAUUGUAAAGUCAAUUAAAUUAGUAAGGAUCGAUGGUUAAUUUUAUGAGUGCUUACCCGUCUGCAACAUUCCUCAAAUCCCAUCCAGACAAAUUUGCAGCUUCAGUCAAAGCCAUCCUCCACGUCGCCACCAUGUCCUUGUCCAUCUGGAGCACAAGCCUUUCUUCAUGUUCAGCAAAGGCCUCGGCAAAACUUCCAGUUUGUUCGCUUACAUCAGAUGGAUCAACAUCAUAGAAUAUAGGAAAAACAAGUUGCCUACAACUUCUCCUACACUCCAUGAUCUUCACUAGUUCCUCAAGACACCAUCUUGAAUUUGCAUAAUUUCUUGAGAACACAAUGACUGAAACCCUAGACUUUUGGAUAGCUUGUAAUAGCUCCGUCGAAAUAUCUUCACCCCUUCGGAGCUCAUUGUCGUCUCUAAAUGUGUUGAUUCCAGCAUCUUUUAAGGAAAAGUAGAGAUGAUCGGUGAAAUUUUUGCGCGUGUCCUCACCUCUGAAACUCAAAAACACAUCAUAAAUCCACGGUUUUGAAGAUGAAGACGCAGUUGAAAAUGAAGAUGUCAUUGUAACAUGAAAGCUAUGGUGGUUCGAGUGGAAGAAAGAUAAUGACCAUAAAAGUUUAUGUGAAGGACACUUAUACAGUGAGAGAGACUUGAGUAAUCGCAAUUGGAGUAAUAUCUUUAUUCGUACUCUGAUAGAUUUAUUUAAAAAAUAAAAGAUCAACCAGACAUUUCUAUAAUUUAGUUGUUUUUUUAAAUUCCCUCUAUUCCUUAAAUAAUAUAACGUUCGUAGAUAACAUUUUAUAUCAUCACUCUGAAUUUAAUAAAAUAAAUAAAUUAUUUAUAAAAUUAUCAUUAUAUUUUAUUUAAUUUAAAACUCAAUCAAUUUGUCCACUAGCCAAGGUCAGAUGCAAAAACAAAUUAACCUAAAGUUGACUUAGUUUGGUAAAUUCAAUUAAAAGCUGUUUUGUGAUAUCAUUUUGAUUUAAUCAACUCAAUCCAGAAUAACUAGAGUCUUGAAUAGAGUUAUGGGCAAAGUUAAGUCUAAUAAUAUUAAUAAAUACUAAUUAGUUUUAAUGGUAAUAAAUUUGAGUUCUUUCAAAGCUAUUAGAGACUUAUAUAAUCAUUAAUUUUAGAGUUUGUAGGAUUAGUCGAUGUGUGUGCAAACUGAUUUGGAUACCGAUGUUAAUAAAAAAAAAACAAAUAUUAAUUAAUGAGAUGAUAAAGGUUAAAUAUUAAGAUAGUGUUUGGUAUUGCAAUAACAAUUAUUUUUUAAAUAUAUUUUUUAGAAAUGACUGAAAUCUUGACUUUGCAUAAUUUCUUGAGAACACAGUGACUGAAAUCCUAGACUUUUGGAUCGCUUGUAAUAGCUCCGUCGAAAUAUCUUCACCCCUUCGGAGCUCAUUGUCGUCUCUGAAUGUGUUGAUUCCAGCAUCUUUCAAGGCAAACUAGAGAUGAUCGGUGAAAUUUUUGCGCGUGUCCUCGCCUCUAAAACUCAAAAACACAUCAUAAAUCCACGGUUUUGAAGAUGAAUAUGAAGAAGAUGAAGAUACAGAUGAAAAUGGAAGAUGUUCAUUGUAACAUGAAAGCUAUGGAAGGAUUAAUUCUCCCUCAUACUCCGACGACCAAUGAAAAGUUGCGUAUAUAUACGAGUUCUCUUUUUUUGUCCCGAGAAUAUUAAUGCAGGAGGCAAGAUUUAUGCAUGUGAAAGCGUGAAAAAAUAUUUUUCAUGUUAUAUUUGUUUUUAUAUUUUAAAAGUAUUUUAAAAAUUUAUUUUAUUUUAUUUCUUUGUUUAAAAUUUUUAUUUUUGUGUUUUUAAAUUAUUUUAAUGAAUUGAUAUUAAAAAUAAUGUUUUAAAAAUAAAAAAAUAAAUUUUAAUACAAGUAAAAUUUAAAAACAAAAUGUGUGUCAUCAUUAACUUAUUAUCAAAUCUGAAAAAGUCACUUAAAGUAGAUAGGACUUGGGAGAAUGGUAGUAAUUAGGGGUGUUCACGGUCCGGUUCGGUUCGGUUUUAAUCUAAAAAUUCAACCGAACCGAAAAACAGUAUUUCUUAUUAAUAUAACACGAACCGAACCGAUAACCGGUUCAAACCGAACCGGUUUUGUUCGGUUCGGGUUGGUUUUUUAGCAUAAAAACUAGAAAAACCAGACUCAUCUUCAUCACUGAGCUAAAUCAAAGGAAAAAUCUGACAUCAAAUAUCAAUCUAAGCUAUUAAUCACAGCAACCACUUAGAAAUUCAAGAAAAGCAACUAGAAAAAGCAAAGCCAGCUGUGAAUGCAAAGCCAGCAGCAUCAGUUUGUCCUUUCAAAGCUGUGGAAUGUUUGCAGCUUAAUUCGGGAUCUGGGGAUUUUGGUAUUUUACUCACUGGCCUUUUUAGGGCACGGACAGCCUUUGCAUUUACUAACACGCAGGACAUGUAAUUGGAUUUGCAGCAGCCAGUGCGUGUUGUACUUUUGAUAGGGUUGCUAGGCUUUCAUCUUAAUGUGUAUAGUGCUUUAUGAACCUUGAGCAUAGAGCUGAGAGACUAGGGUCCAUUAAAGGAUAAGAGAACAAUGCACAAGCUCUGUCGGCUGAUCCGUGCUCUCUUUCUUCUAGGUUGGUUUCUUGUGAUCGGGGGGAAAUAGAAGGGAAGGCUUGAGGGGGGGGGUGACGGCUGGAAUGGAGAAAAGUGAUUUAGGGUUCUAGGAAGGGGAAGGAGAAGGGAAAGGGGAAGCCUGGAGGGGGAGAGGGGGGGUUGGCGACUAGAAAUGGAGAAAGUGAUUUAGGGUUUUGGGAAAGGGAAGGGAAAGGGAAAAAGGGGAAGGCUGGAGGGGGAGGGGGGGUUGACGGCUGUUAAGAGUGUAAGUGAUUUAGGGUUAGGAAUUAUUCUUUUUAUACUCUUUUUUUAAACCGGUUCGGUUUGGUCCGGUUCAAUCGGUUUAAGCUUUUUUAAACCGGAAUCAAACUGGACCGGGUGGUUUUUUUUAUUUUUUAAUCGGUUUAUUCGGUUUUUUCUAUCGGUUCGAUUUUUUCGGUUAAUUUUUUCUCGGUUUUUUCAGUUUAAUCGGUUAGUCGGUUUUUUUUAACACCCCUAAUAGUAAUAAUAGAUUUUUGGAUUUGAUUAUUUUUCUUCUUUUAUUUUGAUCGUUUGAAAUGCUUUUUGGGAUUAAAAUUAGAAUUUAAAAGGCUUUUGAAAGGAUUUUGAAAUUAAAUAAAUUGUUUGUUUUUUUAAUAAAAAAAAAUCUGCCAACCCUAAAUUUUUAGUGAGCUUUUGGUCAUCGAAACACCAUAAUAAACAAUUCGUCAGCUUAGAAUGAGCGAUGCAUUGCCCUCAUCUACCCCUCUUUUUUUAAAAAAACAAUGCUUGGGUCAACUUUCCAAAUACAUACUUAUGAGCUAACUCACUAAUCGAGGUGUACCGCCACCUAGGCCUAGCGCAACCUAUCUCGAUUCUUUUUAAUUUAUCCUUUUUUUUCUUAAUUUUUUUGAUCCCAAAAAUUAAUUUUUAUUUUUAUAAAUAUUCAAAUAUUAUUUAUAUGUGAUUUUUUAGCCAAAUUAAUAAAUUCAAAGUUAAAAUAAAAUAACUGCUUGAUAAGUUUUACCAAAUAUUGGUGUGUAGGAAUUAGAUAGAGAUUUUCUUAUUCUUUAAAAAAAUAUUUUAACUUAAUUUAACAUCAAGAUAUGAUCAAAAUUUGUUAUUAAUUUAUUUGGGAAAACUAGAAAAUACAAGUUUUAAAUUAACACAUUUAAAAAAUAUAAGAAUUAUUUAACCAAAUUGACAUAAAUAUAAUAGUAAAUUUAAGGAUUUUGAUUUUUUUUCCCUCAAAAUGCUUACAUAAAAUCUUUAUUUUUCUCUCAUAAAUUAUAACUAAUGAUUCAAUACUUUUUUGCACUAUUCAAAUCGACAUAAAUAUAAUAUAAAAUUUAAGGAUUUUGAUUUUUUUUUCCCUCAAAAUGCAUACAUAAAAUCUUUAUUUUUCUAUCAUAAAUUAUUACUAAUAUCAGAAAUCCAUUCUUUUUAUUGAAUAAGAAAUAUUUUUAAGAUCUUUGUAACAACUAAUAAUUCAAAUUUGUUUUUUCACUUUUCAAUGACAACUUACCAUUCAAUUUAUUAUUGAUACGCUAACUCUUACCUCUUUAAAGGCUAUCUUUAAAAUUAUUGCUUAUAUAAUAAUUAGGGACCAACAUUAGGGAUCAAUUAAUUAUUCGAGUAAUUAUUUUAUUGAGCGGUCGUCUCUUCUUUUGCGUCAACUACUUGAUCAAUUUAACAUUGGGUUUUUAAUUUGAUAAAUAAUUUUUUUUUGUAUUUUAAAAAACUUAUUUUUUUAUUUUAAAUUAAUUUUUUUCAGAUUAAUUAGAUAUAUUAAUAUUAAAAAUUAAUUUAAAAAAAAUUCAUAAAUUUUCAAAUAAAAAAUCACUUUAAAAAAUAUUCAUUAUUAUAAUAUCAAAUAUAUAUUUUUUUAAAAAAUAUACACAAGGUCAACUGCACGGCACGAGACGCAUGUGCCGCGUGCAUCUUGCGAGGGCAUCGCUCAAAUAUGCUAUUUUUAUUUUAUUUUUCUAUUGUUUGAAAAAAACCUCUCUUGAGUUCUCUUGUUAAUAAACAAUAUAUAUUCUGUCAAUGUCGGCCACAAAGAUAGCAACUUGCAGAGAUAGAUAUAGAACACAAUCCAAAUCCCUUUGAAAAACAUUUUAGUUAUACGUUACUGGGGAAUUCAAUUUUUUUUUUUUUACAAGGCUGGUUACCAAAUUAAUUGGAAAUAAAUAAUUUUUUUUAUUUUAAUUAUACUAUUAGAAUACAAAAAAAAUUAAAACUAGAGUCAAUAACCAAUUUUAUAUUCUUACAAUGGUUUUUACAUAAAUAUCAUGUUAAUUUGGUAUUUGACUAGACAUAAAAGAAUAAAAUAAAAAAUCAUAGUGUUGCUCAAUUGACUAGAAACAAUUUUUUUUUUUUUUCAUGUUAAUUAUAGAUAGAAACAAUCAACAUACUGGCAGAAUAAAAAAAAUUAAAGCUAGAGUCAAUGGCCAAUUUUAUAUUUUUACAAUGAUUUUUAUAUAAUUAUCUUGAUCAAAUGAGGGUUCAAUGAGGGGUAAUUUGAUAUUUGACUUUUUUUAUAAUUGAUUUUAAAAAAAAAAAUUCUUUCAAUAUUUAAUUAAUUAGAAAUUAAAAAAAUAAUCUUGAAGAGAUAAUUCAAGUCUAUAAUAAGACGCCUACGGAAUUUAGGGCACAAAACCACCCCAACAAAUAUUGUUGGUUGCAUGCGACGUGCAAUUCGGAACAAAAGUUAUGGCGAAAAUACAGAGAGGGACGUAAAAAAUUCACAAAUCAGACUCCGACUAUCCUUGCGCUGGACUGUCCUGUCAGAAUAGUAUAGCACUUCCAAAAUCUCCUCCAUCACAAAUCAGACACAGGCAUAAUGUAUAGAUCAUUAUGUUCAACAAAAGCUUCAACAAAGACAACAUUGAAAACGCCAUGACCAGAAGAGUGAAGCUAUGCCACAUCCAUGUUUUCCUCGACACUCUGUUGACUGGUCUCAAACCUCAAUCUUUUUGCUUGAGAUGGGUUAUCACAGCUUGAUCCCUCCCCAUAAUCAUUAUCAAGACCUCUCUUACUUCAAGCCUUGCCUCGUCUUGCUCAUAUACUAGGUAUACUCCAUUCUUCUUCACAGUCAUUGUAUUUCCACAAUCUACAAUAGCUCAACUUCAUCUCACUAUCAGUUGGAAACUCUUAUUUGAUAUAUGGCCCUGCCAGAGGUGAUCUUCACAGGAUUUUACUAAGUUAACAGCUACUUUCCGACAAUCCUUGGUAAAACCCUUAGUAUGAUUAGUCAAUUUGAUUGUAAUACUUUUAGUUUGUUUUUUCUCUAAAUGAGAUGAGCAAACAAUGCACACGUUCAUGCCCUUCAAGUUCCUGCCGUCGAAUUCAGGUAGUUUAAACAAUAUUGAAGCACCCUCAUUCUUAUAGUUGAACAAGGCAGGAAUCUCAUUUCCAGGAAGUACCAAACCAGAAAA
RNAcentral lists this long non-coding RNA (11012 nucleotides) under Populus tremula. RNAcentral's name for it is "long non-coding RNA (PTRE_LNC001716)". Lineage: Eukaryota; Viridiplantae; Streptophyta; Magnoliopsida; Malpighiales; Salicaceae. The record is from RNAcentral.